Molecule: unclassified non-coding RNA, 254 nt
Filed under: Patescibacteria group bacterium
Lineage: Bacteria
Description: contains 16S-23S intergenic spacer region
Rfam family: Bacterial small subunit ribosomal RNA
Source: RNAcentral
UACGUAGGGUGCAAGCAUUGUCCGGAUUUAUUGGGCGUAAAGAGUUCUGUAGGCGGUUUUGUAAGUCAUGGGUAAAAUCCUUCGGCCUAACCGAAGAUGUGCUCAUGAUACUGCAUGACUAGAGGAAAUUAGGGGAUAGCGGAACGUAUGGAGGAGCGGUGAAAUGCAUUGAUCUCAUACGGAACACCUAGGGCGUAGGCAGCUAUCUGGGAUUUUCCUGACGCUGAGAGACGAAAGCGUGGGUAGCGAAACGG